Long non-coding RNA from Pongo pygmaeus (Bornean orangutan), 6037 nucleotides. RefSeq lists it as uncharacterized. The record is from RefSeq and is a predicted model, not a curated record. The transcript has 4 exons. Lineage: Eukaryota; Metazoa; Chordata; Mammalia; Primates; Hominidae.
UGGCGGGGUCUUUGUCUCUCGCUGGCGCUGGCACAGGAGCUUGGGAUCCGUCUCCUAUUUCGUCUCCUCCACCUUGGGAGCCCCGGGCUACUCUCUCACAGCCCCUGUUGCCCUGUGACCUGUAGGUCCUUGGGGACGCAUAGUUAAGGUGCCAGGACAUCAUGGAAGCUGGGAAAUGAUUUCUUCUAGACCAUGGCUGGAGAAGUAAAGAAGGUGUGUUUUGCCUGAUUCAGGGACUAUAGAGAGAACCAAAUUCUGCAGGCCUGUCACCUGUCUCAGUGGAAGAGAAACUAUUCCUGUCUUUACACCUGGUAGUAUUUCCAAGAGAAAGUUGUGAGAUUCUGCUUCAAAUCACCUCUCAAACAAAUAAAAAACAGACUUGGGAAAGGUACUACACUCAUUCUGCUGAAGAAAUUGUAUCAGCAUCCAGUUGCCUGGACUGCAAUGUGUCUCUAAGGAAUGGACACUAAGCGUUGUGAUAAGAAAAUCUUAAUGUCCUAAGGGGUUUGCUUUUAGCGCAAGGGUAUACCUGGAGAUUCCUUCCAGGUACAGUGCAUCCAACCACUCCACAGAGAGGCUGCAUUCCCAUACCUUGGGCUGUUCCCUGAGAGGAGAUGACACAAGGGAUGCUAUUUACUAGACACCUCAAGAGUCAUGGCCACUGUUGGCAUCUUGGGGAAUCCUCAAACAGUUUCAAAACUCAAAACCAAGAAAAUAACACAAGAUAGCUGAGGAUGUAUUGCCCUGUGAAGUUUCCAAAAUGAAACCUCAACCCAAAGACAUUCUGAUGGGGUGUCUGUGUCAAGGGAAUAUUAAAGACAGGGGCACAAAUGUUUUCUUUUUUUUUUUUUUUUUUUUUUUACUGUGAAGUGUCAGGGGAUUGUUAUCUGCUUUCAUCUCCUGUAAAAUAUUUACAAAUGAAAAAUAUUUUUUAAGACUGCUUUUUGAAAAAAUGAAGAUUUAAAAUAGUGUGUCUAAAAUGUACUAUAAAGAAGAGUUGAUAAUGUUGUGAGUUACACAAUGUUAGUUAGUGUUGGUAAGUGUCAGGAAAGAACUGGAAAUUUAAAAUCUGACUGCAAGCCAGAGGUAGGCUGGGGCAACAGAGUGGUAGAUUUGAGGAUCUACUUGCCACACUUUUGGAAAAUGCAUGAGAAGACUAGUUCUCUUUUGGAGUGUUAAAACAACUAAAAAAAGGCGAUUAUGAUGAGGUGGCUCUAGUGUCCUGAGCUCUGAGUGGAGAGACAGGCCAAGGCCUCCCUAGAUCCAAAAAGCUGCCCAUUCUUCUCUAGCUGUGCACCUGAUUAGAUACUUUCCACUCCAGCACCAAUGAUCGGGUAUAGUUCAAUUCCCCACCCCACCCCCUUAGGCCAUGGGUGACAUAUGUGAUUUGACACUGGGUUGAAUAAAGCAAGAAUUAUAGGUUUUUCCUGGAUCCUUUUAGGGCAGGGCUUCCACCAUGCACUGGACACUAGCCCUGCCUGUAAAAUAGUUGCAUUUACAUUGGUGAGUAAGAUUAUUUUUAUUUAUGAAUAAUAUAUAUGUGUUAUUCAUAUGUGGAAGAAAUAUAAUGACAAUUAUUUUAAAAUUUCAAUUUUUUUACUUUCCUGGCACAUCCAGGCUUUAGAGCAGGCAGCCUAAGAUUUCAAAUAGGAGGCAAUUCUCUAAGAAAUAAUAUGUGAGGGACAUGUGAAUUUUAAAUAUUCUAGUAGCUACAUUUUAGUAAAUACAGCGGCAUGCUUGCCUGUGCCUGUAGGUCAAACUGUUAGGGAGACUGAUGUAGGAGGAUCACUUGAGGCCAGGGGGUUGAGACCAGCCCAGGCAGCAUAGAGAAAGCCAUCUCUACAAAAAAAAAAAGAAAUUGAAAAAUUAGCCAGGCCUGGUGGUGCAUGCCUUCACACCCAGCUACUCAGAAAGCUGGAGGGGGAGGAUCACUUGAGCCUGGGAGGUCAAGGCUGAAAUGAGCCGUGAUCACACCACUGCACUCCAGCCUGGCUGACAGAGCAAAACCAUGUCUCAAAAAACUGAUCUCUGGAAAGGCAUUUUCUUUUACGGCAAUGUAGCCAAACAGCUAACUAUAUAUUGAAGCCAUCCUUUAAUUUUUAACAGGGCAAGAAUGUUUUCUAAGACCCCGAACUCCAGAUAUGCAAUGGGGCAAAUCCUGAAGUGUACAUGGAUAUCUCUCACAGCUAAAGCAUCCCUCACCCCUAUCCAGCGCUUCUUACUCCUGCCACAAAAGAAUCACCUGCGGGGAGGAAAACUUUCAAAAUCCCUAAAAUCGAAGUUGUAACCGAUCAAUUAAAUCAGAAUCCUUGGAGUUGGGUCUGAAAAAAAUACGGUUUAAAGCUGUGCAGGUGAUUACAAUAUGUAGGCAAGCCACAAAAUCGUGGCUUUAACCAGCAGCUUUUGUUAGAAUUGAUUUCUCAAAUGAAUGUAAAAACGUUUGCUGCUGAAUUGUGACCUUCCAAUUUUACUUGCUUUUCCUACAAUGUAUAUUUUGCAGACCCAGGCUUGCUUCUCGUCCUGUUCCUGAUUCACCCAGUGCCCUGUGUAUUCAGUGCAACCUGUGCACGGGUCACUGUGCUGUGUACCCUGGCCUGGGUGAGCAUCAUUCUUCGGGGAGAACCUUUCUGAAAACAAAGCUGCAUUCCAAAAAAUUAAAACCAUGCUACUUACUGUAUUGAGGUGAAAAUUAAAAGACCUAAGGGACUCAUCCAAAAUUUAAAACAUAAAUAAAUAACUUGGAACAUUAAUAUACACCUGAUGAUGUCCUGAGUGAACAUGCCCCACUUUAAAACAAAACAAAACAUUACUAUUAUUCUAAAAUAUUAAUUUAGGAUUGUUAUGAAAAUAUGUACUAUUUAAAUUUUUAUUGGUGUAUAACAUGCAUACAGCAAUAUAGGAACAAAACAUUUAUGGAAUGCUUGAUGAAUUAUUACAAAAUAAAUACACUUGUGUAUCUAAGAAUCAGAUUUGUUCAUGCCCUUGACACUUUCUCCUUUCCAAAGGUAACCAAGAUCUUAAGAGCUAAGUGCAGAUAAACUUGUCAUUUUGUACAAGUGUUUUAUUACACAUCAUUAAAAAUGUAUACGCAAUACAAAAAAAGUAUAACAGACCAGUCACCAAGCUUUAACAGCUACUAGUCAUGUGUCAUUUUUGUUUCACCUAUACUUCCAGCCAUUCCCACUCCAAUUUCAUUAUUUUUUAGGCUUUUUGGAUAAAAUAUAUAUUCAUUGCAAGGCACAAUGUGAACUGUAAAUAGUAGAGAGAUGGGGUUUCACCAUGUUGGCCAGGCUAGGCUUGAACUCCUCACCUCAGGUGAUCCACCCCCUUCGGCUUCCCAAAGUGCUGGGAUUACAGGCAUGAGCCGAUAUACUCGGCCUGAGAAUUCAUAUUUCUAACAAAGUACAAAUCCAUAGGGCGCACAUGACCACUGCAAUGUCUGUCUACAGUAAAUACAGUUUGAUGAAUAAAAUGAAAGGCAAUUGACCUAAGGUGAAAAAAAAACACAAAAAACAAUCAAACCAUGGGUAGUAUGUGCUAUCUGUAAGAACAUUUGGUUAAGAAUAACAAACCAGUUUUAUCAUUUUAAUAACCAAAAUUGGCAAAAUUUCUAGUUUUUCUUUCAUAGAAAUGCUCUUUGCAAGAAAAAAUUUUCAUAUAGUGAGAGCAAAAAUGACAACCAUUUGCAAGUAAAUGUCUUAUGAAAUUAAGUAGCAGAUAUCAUCAACCUCAAUACCUUCAGAUAGUUACCCCUAACUCAAUCAUUUACAUACCAAGUGCAGAUAAUUUUCAUAGCUUCCUAUUAAAAUUAUAUUUGAAUGCCCUUACAAAUUGUGACUGUUUUUAAAGUUCACCAACUAAAAUUUUUAUAUGACAUAUGAUAAGUUCCACUUCAAGUCACCUUACAUUUACUUAAUUUUAUUAGGCAGUGUCUGUCUACCACCCAGUAAUACGUGGGGAUUCUCCCUCCAUUUGCACAGACAUCAUAGCUGGGGAACAGGGAUUCACAAGACCCAGGCUGUUCCCUACAUAUUUUUCCUCCUCAGACAUCAGUUCAUCAGUCAAUCAAGUCAUGUGAGAGUGGAGGCCAUGUAUUCUGUAUUCUUGGGCACUCUCCUCCAAGGAGGAAAAGGCCAGGAGGUCCUGUUAGGGGAUGCACUCUGAGAGGCCGGGCUCCUAAGGUGUGAGAGUUCUAACCAGCAGGUGUAGACUUUUCAGGAGUGAGGAAUGAGGCAGGUAUUCCAAACCUGGAGCUUCAUCACCUUUUGUUUCAUCUCAAGACAAUUCUGAGGCGCUGUUUUGGAACGUGUCUGGAAGGUGAACGUUGAAGAAGAGUGUGGGCUUUGAUGUGACUCAGAUGAGAUCUUUCUUAGGGAGGCAAGAAUUCAAUGCCCAGAAUCUGGGCAGAUGUCUUUGAGGUCAGAAGGUUGCCUCUUUGUAUCCAAGUCCAUUGCUACUAGGUUGGGGGCUGGAGAUUCUAAAUGGCUUCCAGACCGCCUCUCUGAUUCUCUUUUGGAGAUGGGGUCUGAAAAAGACAAUGUCAGUAUUUUUCGGAAAUUCUAGAAAGUCUGUUUGGAAACCUGGGAAGACCUCUUGCCUAGUGCCUAAAUGCUCCAUUUGCAGCUCUAGCCACGUAGAUGCUUGGUAGGUAUAGAGCUGGGUUUGCAUUUAUAUCAGCAAAACCUAUGUCAGAGUUGAAGAAGUAGUAAGGACAAAGUGUCUUGGUCGCAGGCCGGGAAACAUCUUAAAAGCAAACUUCUAGCCUGCUGACUCUUGGCAAUGAGUGUUGGGUCCUGGCCAAAGUGCCUUGAAUGCAGCAUGAGGCCAAUCCAUAAAUCCAACUUCUAAUGGAGAAUUAUUAAUAUUUUUUCAUUUUGAAUCAAUCAGGGUGAAAUUACCUUGCUAUUGGUUUGCUUACUUUUUAUUAUUUCAUAUAAAAUCUAAGACAAAAUACAUUAAAUGCUUACUGACAUAUGUAUUUACUCUUCACCUGGCUGAUAAUAUCUCCCUAAUUUUAAACUUUCUUCCAUUUUGUAGGUUUCAACUUAUUUUAUUGUAAGAUAGUAUUAAAUCUAAUAUAGGCAUUGUCACUUUUACAUAUAAUUUUAUUUUAUUUCAUAUAUUUCCUAUUGGCUAUUUACAUUUAAAUUAUGGACUGUUUCAUCAUAUAAAAAGCUUCAUUUAUAUUUAAACAAUAAGUCUUUGGAUUUUUUUGUCUUGUAAUUUCCAUAUUACAUAGUAAUGAGAUAAACAUUAAUGUUUACAGGAUAUUUUAAAUUUUAGAUAAUUACUCAUUUUAUCCAUCUGAAAUUUGUUUUUUACUGCAUGUGCGGGUUGGAGAACUGUUUUCACUUCUGAUUCAUCUUUAUUCUUAUCUCCUCAGAGCUCAUACCUCUUGUAGUUGGGGGAUUGCAGUUUAUAAUUCCAAUAAACGGGGCAAAUUUUAUAAUAACAUAAUUCAAAUGAGUUUGAAAGGAGGACAGGUCUUCAAAGCAUACACAACAUGGGCCUACAUAUGUACAACAAUAAUAAUUUAUAAGUUACAGUUUGAAUAGAAAGUAAAAGUACGAGAAAUUUGUUAAAGAAAAUUAAAAUGGAGAUCAUGUCUCAAUAAUCUCUGAGCAGACAAAAUUAGUUAGGUCUCAUAAGUGAUCUCAACCUUGCUUGAUUUGCAAAUAUAAGCAAAACUUAAAUUAUUUCUUGUAGCUGCCUAUUCAAAAAACAGAAAUGAAGGUCAACCAAUCCGGUGCAGCCAACGACCUUAUAUAAAUAGAAACUGUUCAACAAGGUAAACAGACAAACAAAAAACAAUAAAAAAAGUUGUGCUACCACCAAUCAAAUGAUUUCUUUGUUUCUACAUUUUUCCAAUAUAUACUUGCUUCUUACACUGUCAAUGAAUCACUGAAUAUCUUUCUGUCUGAUAUUUUAUAAUUUUUCAAUUGCUCUUACUCAAAUAAACACUUUACAAUUUCAUUGUGUCUCAAAUUACUUUUUAGCAGAAUAAAAUAAACUAGGAAUAAAUAUUACAAAAAUAUGU